CAAGAAGUUGUCUUAGGCAUG
This 21-nucleotide microRNA is filed under the name Cynara cardunculus (cardoon). RNAcentral's name for it is "cca-miR6103-3p". The record is from miRBase by way of RNAcentral. Lineage: Eukaryota; Viridiplantae; Streptophyta; Magnoliopsida; Asterales; Asteraceae.